Malus domestica (apple) is the source of this 2069-nucleotide non-coding RNA. The record is from RefSeq and is a predicted model, not a curated record. NCBI's taxonomy places the organism in Eukaryota, Viridiplantae, Streptophyta, Magnoliopsida, Rosales, Rosaceae.
GCAAAAGCCAAUUACAGGCUCUUCAAUAGUGACUCCCUAGGGAGCUUUGCAACGCUGGAGAUGUUCUUAACUGUGGUUAGUGUUGCUGGAGCGAGUGGAAGAGUUGUAGUGGAGGCACUUUUAGGGUUUUCGGAAGAAUCAAGAGAUUAUGAGGACCUGGGCAUAUCAACGCUGCCGUCAUACAGCUACAAAUAGGUGCGUUGGUUGAGCUGGGACGAGUGGCUUGAAUCUCUCUUUUCGAAUUCACCUGAUUCUGGCCUCCGCUUUGAGAAGAAGGAUGUCUUCCUGUUGCGGUUGAAGUUACCGAAACGAUUGUUGAAAUUCAGCAAAAAGAUCCUCAGUUUAGAUUGGACAUGAUUUAGAUAAUUGUAAACGAAUCAAUCAAGUGAUGCUUCACUUUCAGAGGAAAUGUUGGCCAUGUUAUAUUGUAUGGCAAUCAUAAGGUAGUGCGACAUGAAUAAGUUAGCUUCACACUAGUGGUCAUGUUUCUGAAGGCUUUUGAAUGGUGUUGCCAAGAAGACAUGGAAGAAAACAGAGGUUUAAAUUGUUGUGGUUGCUGAUGCAAUUAGCAUUCCACGUCCACUGAUUGAUAUUCAUCAUGAGGGAUCUCACCGUGAUCUUCCCACACUUGAGGUUCUUCAUGGUGCAUCAGUUAAGUGUUAGUUGAAGCAAACAUGGUUUAAAGAACAGUAUUGAAUGGAAUCUGGCUGUAGUUUGGAAGUAAUAAGGAACCGGAGUUACUUCUGGCUCUUCCGAACGCAGUCCUUGAUAUGAUUGAGACUCAUGAAGGAGUGAUGUAUGAGAAGGCUAGCCAGAUGCAGUUUUAGGUGGAUGGUGUGUAUUUAGUUUCGGAGUCUAAUUUCAGAGUGCACACACCUGCUUUUAAUUUGUGCUGAAUUAUGCAUUUGAUACUCUCAGUUCCUAGCAUGAAUUCAACGUCGUGUAAAGCUGGAUAUACAAAGUCUUCUGCUUCACCAAAAUUGAGCGUCUGAUGGAUUUCUCAAGUGCUCAAAACUUGAAAGUAUCCAAAUGUUCUUAUCCUGGUUGCCAGGGCAGAGGUUGAACCCCUCUCAUCUCUGUUCACACGGCUUGUCGGAAAUUUCAAAGAAUUAGAACCUCGUCAUGAAAAAGAUUUUGAAGCGGAACUAAAAGUUUCUUGAGCAGAAAAAAAACCAUCUCCAAAGCAAUUCUGGUUGAGCUCCUAUGCAAAUGGCUUGUUGUAUCAGCUUUUGCUAAUAACAGGCUCACGGAUUCUCUCCUCCAUCUUGCACAGCUGACAAAGGACUGCUUUUGAGUUUCAUCACAUUCGGAUACUGCAGAAGAUGUUCUUCUAGUGUUCUUCAAAAUACAAAUAAUCUAUAUAUAAAGCAAGAUGAAUCAUAAGUCAAGCGGCAAAAAAGCUACAACUGAUUAAUGUCGCAAAAUGAAGAGCAAGGAAUUGAAGAAGACAGAUGCUGAUGUCGAAAAUACGAACAAAUGGGUUCUCGCCAAAUCAUGGAACCGGCGUCCGAUUGGAAUGUUGCCUCGAGCUGUUGGGUUUUCUGGCGGGAUGUCAAUAAUGUCGCAGAAAAGGUUCCUGGAUUACUAGGAAGAGAAGAGAAGUGGGAACUAAAACAAUGUAGUGCCAUGAGACCUAUAAAACUCAAUUUUGGUCAAAAUAAUAUAUGCAAGCAGUCGAGAGCAAGUAAUGUGUCUUAUAUUUCAAUACACCGAAACAUGGUAGAACUUUCUCACCUUUCAAUGUAACACUUCGGGUCCGUUGUCAAUGUCCAUUCAAAUCUACAGCAGUGCAAUGAUAUGGUAGAGAAGGUACCGCAGGGGCGACCUGAGAACACAUCAAGCGCAAUACAUAAAUGCUACAUGUGAUCUCAGGUCACUCCUGUGGAACCCCUCUACCGCUUUGGCUUAUCUCUGUACAACUUCCUUGCCUUAGAAUGGUAAUAUAUAGCACAACUUAGAACUUAGUUGUGUACUAUUUUCACUCCAUUGUACUACAUGUUUCUUUCUAGUACAAAUCUUCUUGUUUGACCAUAUACACGUUUAUUUAUUAUAUAUUGGAUUUAAAUGUA